RNAcentral lists this ribosomal RNA (212 nucleotides) under Anelosimus nigrescens. RNAcentral describes it as "partial 16S ribosomal RNA". The record is from RNAcentral. Lineage: Eukaryota; Metazoa; Arthropoda; Arachnida; Araneae; Theridiidae.
UAAGGUAGCAUAAUCAUUUGUUUUUUAAUUAAGAACUAGAAUGAAAGACUUAACAUUUAAGUUCCUUUAUUUAUUUCUAAAUUAUUAACUUAUACUAAAUAUAAAAAUAUAUUUAUAAUAAAAAAAGACGACAAGACCCUAUUAAAUUUUACUUAUUGUUAUGCUGGGGAAGCUAAUUAAAAAUAAUUUUAAUAAAAUAUAAAUAAAUAUCU